Molecule: ribosomal RNA, 2900 nt
Filed under: Klebsiella pneumoniae
Lineage: Bacteria; Pseudomonadati; Pseudomonadota; Gammaproteobacteria; Enterobacterales; Enterobacteriaceae
Also listed under: 1 other name
Description: bacterial LSU rRNA
Rfam family: Bacterial large subunit ribosomal RNA
Source: RNAcentral
UUAAGCGACUAAGCGUACACGGUGGAUGCCCUGGCAGUCAGAGGCGAUGAAGGACGUGCUAAUCUGCGAAAAGCGUCGGUAAGGUGAUAUGAACCGUUAUAACCGGCGAUGUCCGAAUGGGGAAACCCAGUGCAAUUCGUUGCACUAUCGUUAACUGAAUACAUAGGUUAACGAGGCGAACCGGGGGAACUGAAACAUCUAAGUACCCCGAGGAAAAGAAAUCAACCGAGAUUCCCCCAGUAGCGGCGAGCGAACGGGGAGCAGCCCAGAGUCUGAAUCAGCUUGUGUGUUAGUGGAACGGUCUGGAAAGUCCGACGGUACAGGGUGAUAGUCCCGUACACCAAAAUGCACAGGCUGUGAACUCGAAGAGUAGGGCGGGACACGUGGUAUCCUGUCUGAAUAUGGGGGGACCAUCCUCCAAGGCUAAAUACUCCUGACUGACCGAUAGUGAACCAGUACCGUGAGGGAAAGGCGAAAAGAACCCCGGCGAGGGGAGUGAAAAAGAACCUGAAACCGUGUACGUACAAGCAGUGGGAGCACCUUCGGGUGUGACUGCGUACCUUUUGUAUAAUGGGUCAGCGACUUAUAUUCUGUAGCAAGGUUAACCGUAUAGGGGAGCCGCAGGGAAACCGAGUCUUAACUGGGCGUUAAGUUGCAGGGUAUAGACCCGAAACCCGGUGAUCUAGCCAUGGGCAGGUUGAAGGUUGGGUAACACUAACUGGAGGACCGAACCGACUAAUGUUGAAAAAUUAGCGGAUGACUUGUGGCUGGGGGUGAAAGGCCAAUCAAACCGGGAGAUAGCUGGUUCUCCCCGAAAGCUAUUUAGGUAGCGCCUCGUGAACUCAUCUUCGGGGGUAGAGCACUGUUUCGGCUAGGGGGUCAUCCCGACUUACCAACCCGAUGCAAACUACGAAUACCGAAGAAUGUUAUCACGGGAGACACACGGCGGGUGCUAACGUCCGUCGUGAAGAGGGAAACAACCCAGACCGCCAGCUAAGGUCCCAAAGUCAUGGUUAAGUGGGAAACGAUGUGGGAAGGCACAGACAGCCAGGAUGUUGGCUUAGAAGCAGCCAUCAUUUAAAGAAAGCGUAAUAGCUCACUGGUCGAGUCGGCCUGCGCGGAAGAUGUAACGGGGCUAAACCAUGCACCGAAGCUGCGGCAGCGACACAAUGUGUUGUUGGGUAGGGGAGCGUUCUGUAAGCCUGCGAAGGUGACCUGUGAGGGUUGCUGGAGGUAUCAGAAGUGCGAAUGCUGACAUAAGUAACGAUAAAGCGGGUGAAAAGCCCGCUCGCCGGAAGACCAAGGGUUCCUGUCCAACGUUAAUCGGGGCAGGGUGAGUCGACCCCUAAGGCGAGGCCGAAAGGCGUAGUCGAUGGGAAACAGGUUAAUAUUCCUGUACUUGGUGUUACUGCGAAGGGGGGACGGAGAAGGCUAUGUUAGCCGGGCGACGGUUGUCCCGGUUUAAGCAUGUAGGCUGAUUAUCCAGGCAAAUCCGGAUAAUCAAGGCUGAGGUGUGAUGACGAGGCACUACGGUGCUGAAGUAACAAAUGCCCUGCUUCCAGGAAAAGCCUCUAAGCAUCAGGUAACAUCAAAUCGUACCCCAAACCGACACAGGUGGUCAGGUAGAGAAUACCAAGGCGCUUGAGAGAACUCGGGUGAAGGAACUAGGCAAAAUGGUGCCGUAACUUCGGGAGAAGGCACGCUGGUGCGUAGGUGAAGUCCCUGCGGAUGGAGCUGAGACCAGUCGAAGAUACCAGCUGGCUGCAACUGUUUAUUAAAAACACAGCACUGUGCAAACACGAAAGUGGACGUAUACGGUGUGACGCCUGCCCGGUGCCGGAAGGUUAAUUGAUGGGGUUAUCCGUAAGGAGAAGCUCUUGAUCGAAGCCCCGGUAAACGGCGGCCGUAACUAUAACGGUCCUAAGGUAGCGAAAUUCCUUGUCGGGUAAGUUCCGACCUGCACGAAUGGCGUAAUGAUGGCCAGGCUGUCUCCACCCGAGACUCAGUGAAAUUGAACUCGCUGUGAAGAUGCAGUGUACCCGCGGCAAGACGGAAAGACCCCGUGAACCUUUACUAUAGCUUGACACUGAACAUUGAGCCUUGAUGUGUAGGAUAGGUGGGAGGCUUUGAAGCGUGGACGCCAGUCUGCGUGGAGCCAACCUUGAAAUACCACCCUUUAAUGUUUGAUGUUCUAACGUGGGCCCCUAAUCGGGGUUGCGGACAGUGUCUGGUGGGUAGUUUGACUGGGGCGGUCUCCUCCCAAAGCGUAACGGAGGAGCACGAAGGUUAGCUAAUCCUGGUCGGACAUCAGGAGGUUAGUGCAAUGGCAUAAGCUAGCUUGACUGCGAGCGUGACGGCGCGAGCAGGUGCGAAAGCAGGUCAUAGUGAUCCGGUGGUUCUGAAUGGAAGGGCCAUCGCUCAACGGAUAAAAGGUACUCCGGGGAUAACAGGCUGAUACCGCCCAAGAGUUCAUAUCGACGGCGGUGUUUGGCACCUCGAUGUCGGCUCAUCACAUCCUGGGGCUGAAGUAGGUCCCAAGGGUAUGGCUGUUCGCCAUUUAAAGUGGUACGCGAGCUGGGUUUAGAACGUCGUGAGACAGUUCGGUCCCUAUCUGCCGUGGGCGCUGGAGAAUUGAGGGGGGCUGCUCCUAGUACGAGAGGACCGGAGUGGACGCAUCACUGGUGUUCGGGUUGUCAUGCCAAUGGCACUGCCCGGUAGCUAAAUGCGGAAGAGAUAAGUGCUGAAAGCAUCUAAGCACGAAACUUGCCCCGAGAUGAGUUCUCCCUGAGACUUUAAGUCUCCUGAAGGAACGUUGAAGACGACGACGUUGAUAGGCCGGGUGUGUAAGCGCAGCGAUGCGUUGAGCUAACCGGUACUAAUGAACCGUGAGGCUUAACCUU